This 509-nucleotide ribosomal RNA is filed under the name uncultured bacterium. Its description in RNAcentral is "bacterial SSU rRNA". It matches the Rfam family "Bacterial small subunit ribosomal RNA", at positions 15 to 518 of the family's 1533-position model. The record is from RNAcentral.
GAUUAUGGCUCAGGAUGAACGCUAGCGGCAGGCUUAACACAUGCAAGUCGAGGGGCAUCGGGAGUAGCAAUACUUGCCGGCGACCGGCGCAAGGGUGCGUAACGCGUGAGCAACAUGCCCGUAUCAGGGGGAUAAUCCAUGGAAACGUGGUCUAAUACCCCAUAGUAAUUAUGUAAGGCAUCUUAUAUAAUUUAAAGCUUUGGUGGAUACGGAUUGGCUCGCGUGACAUUAGCUAGAUGGUAAGGUAACGGCUUACCAUGGCUACGAUGUCUAGGGGUUCUGAGAGGAAGGUCCCCCACACUGGAACUGAGACACGGUCCAGACUCCUACGGGAGGCAGCAGUGAGGAAUAUUGGACAAUGGAUGGAAAUCUGAUCCAGCCAUGCCGCGUGCCAGGAAGACGGCCCUAUGGGUUGUAAACUGCUUUUGUAUGGGAGCAAUAAGGGCUACGCGUAGUCCGAUGAGAGUACCAUACGAAUAAGCACCGGCUAACUCCGUGCCAGCCGCGGC